GGUGUGGGCGGUUUCGACCCCGUCCGUGCCGGAGCUAACGCGUUAAGCGCGCCGCCUGGGGAGUACGGUCGCAAGACUAAAACUCAAAGAAAUUGACGGGGACCCGCACAAGCGGUGGAGUAUGUGGCUUAAUUCGAUGCAACGCGAAGAACCUUACCUGGGCUUGACAUGCAUCGCUAAUCCGCUGAAAGGCGGUGAGUCUUCGGACACUUUGCACAGGUGCUGCAUGGCCGUCGUCAGCUCGUGUCGUGAGAUGUUGGGUUAAGUCCCGCAACGAGCGCAACCCCUGCGGACAGUUGCCAGCAUGUAAUGAUGGGGACUCUGUUCGGACUGCCCAGAUCAACUGGGAGGAAGGUGGGGACGACGUCAGGUCAGUAUGGCCCUUACGCCCAGGGCUGCACACGUACUACAAUGCCCAGUACAAUUGGAACCGAGGCCGUGAGGUGGAGGAAAUCCGUAAAACUGGGCCCAGUUCGGAUUGGAGGCUGCAACUCGCCUCCAUGAAGCCGGAAUCGCUAGUAAUGGCACAUCAGCUACGGUGCCGUGAGCACGUUCCCGGGUCUUGUACACACCGCCCGUCACAUCAUGGAAGCCGGUAACACCCGAAG
Molecule: ribosomal RNA, 608 nt
Filed under: uncultured Verrucomicrobiota bacterium
Lineage: Bacteria; Pseudomonadati; Verrucomicrobiota
Description: bacterial SSU rRNA
Rfam family: Bacterial small subunit ribosomal RNA
Source: RNAcentral